UACGGGGGGAGCAAGCGUUGUUCGGAUUUACUGGGCGUAAAGGGCGCGUAGGCGGCGUAACAAGUCACUUGUGAAAUCUCCGGGCUUAACUCGGAGCGGUCAAGUGAUACUGUUGUGCUAGAGUGCGGAAGGGGCUACUGGAAUUCUCGGUGUAGCGGUGAAAUGCGUAGAUAUCGAGAGGAACACCUGCGGCGAAGGCGGGUAGCUGGGCCGACACUGACGCUGAUGCGCGAAAGCUAGGGGAGCAAACAGG
This 253-nucleotide ribosomal RNA is filed under the name uncultured bacterium. RNAcentral's name for it is "partial 16S ribosomal RNA". It matches the Rfam family "Bacterial small subunit ribosomal RNA", at positions 524 to 776 of the family's 1533-position model. The record is from RNAcentral.